UACGUAGGUGGCAAGCGUUGUCCGGAAUUAUUGGGCGUAAAGCGCGUGUAGGCGGUUGGUUAAGUCUGAUGUGAAAGCCCUGGGCUCAACCCGGGAAGUGCAUUGGAAACUGGCUAACUUGAGUACGGGAGAGGGUAGUGGAAUUUCGAGUGUAGGGGUGAAAUCCGUAGAUAUUCGAAGGAACACCGGUGGCGAAGGCGGCUACCUGGACCGAUACUGACGCUGAGACGCGAAAGCGUGGGGAGC
This 246-nucleotide ribosomal RNA is filed under the name uncultured bacterium. RNAcentral's name for it is "partial 16S ribosomal RNA". It matches the Rfam family "Bacterial small subunit ribosomal RNA", at positions 524 to 769 of the family's 1533-position model. The record is from RNAcentral.